Molecule: long non-coding RNA, 542 nt
Organism: Ostrea edulis (European flat oyster)
Lineage: Eukaryota; Metazoa; Mollusca; Bivalvia; Ostreida; Ostreidae
Exons: 3
Source: RefSeq, a predicted model, not a curated record
AAAAUUUGGUCUCGCACCUGUUGCUGCAGUCUCUCCUCUUCUGGAAGGGAAGGUUUUUGCAGCCCAACUGACAGUUAUUGCGUGACGUUGCACAUCCCACCUUACAGGCAACAGCCAACGUGGUGGACACCAUCAGUCCCACCAACAGAAGUGUUGUCAACAGUCUGGUCUGAAAGAAUUCAAAGACUAGUGAACAGAUUUGAGAUUUGAAAAAGCAUCAAGGGACAAUGAAUACCAGACUGUUGACAACGCUUCUGUUGGUGGGACUGAUGGUGUCCACCACGCUGGCUGUCACCUGUAAGGUGGGAUGUCAGAAGUCACGUAACGUCUGUCAGUUGGGCUGCAGAAACCUUCCCUUCCUGAAGAAAAGGCAGUGCAGCAACAAGUGCGAGACAACCUUAUCGAUUUGUGAGAGGAGCUGUAAAAACAACAGGCCCACACCUUGGAAGUCUUAAAUAGUGAAAAACAUGUAAAAAUUCCUAGAGAAUUAUAUAUGUUUGAAAUGUCUUAGUAAAAAAUAAAUGAUAUGCAUUUUCGUCACA